Molecule: unclassified non-coding RNA, 557 nt
Filed under: Hevea brasiliensis (rubber tree)
Lineage: Eukaryota; Viridiplantae; Streptophyta; Magnoliopsida; Malpighiales; Euphorbiaceae
Source: RNAcentral
UGCAAUGGGAAAAGCUCCAGAGUUCUAUCUCCUUCCUCUCUACAUGACCUUAUUUCUUCUAAUUCUAGGCACUCAAAUGCCCAGCUCCUGCACUUUCUCUUGUAUGGACUGUCUUCGUCUCUCUCAACUUCUCCCCUCGAAUCCAAAGAUAUAGAGGUGAUGGUGCCUGGGGUUCUCGGACUAUGGCUUAGACCAAGGCUGUUGCGCUUCUGCUUUUGCCUUUCGCGGGCUUUGUGGUUUUGGAACCAGUAAAACACGUUCUUUCCUUCGAUCUUGCCAUAUCUGCCUAGCUGUGCCGUGAUUUGUUCUAUUUGUUGGGCAUUGGGAGUUCUCAUUCCUCCUCUAUACAGCAUCUCCAGUAUACCUAUCUGUUCUUGUGUCGGGUUCCACCGGGUCCCUCCUGGGUGUGUCUCCACCUGAUGUGAAUCUUUCUUCUCGUCAGAGGAUCCAAGUUUUCUAGGGCCACUUUCGGGUCUAAUGAAGCUCUUGAGAUCGAAAGAGGCAACACUAUCUGUGUUGGCCAGCUUGGGAGCAAGAGGGCGAAGACGCUUGCAACC